Molecule: long non-coding RNA, 873 nt
Organism: Lagenorhynchus albirostris (white-beaked dolphin)
Lineage: Eukaryota; Metazoa; Chordata; Mammalia; Artiodactyla; Delphinidae
Exons: 3
Source: RefSeq, a predicted model, not a curated record
GGGAUCAGAAAGAUGCUCAUCAGGAGGCAUCCAGCACCCUGGGAAUGUGAGGACGGUACAGUCACCGUGUGACGUAGGGCCUUGGUCCCAUUCCCUUCCAGCCUCAAUGGGCCUGUGAAGACGGAAGCCGAGCCAUACAUUCAAAGGAAAAAGGAAGAGGGACUCACAAUUUUUGAGGACAGAUCUGCUGAGAGUCAGGAAUCUGGUGGAGCUUUACCCUACUAGUAGUGGAGGGGGCAAGAGAGGGUGAACUACAGAUGUGAAUAUAUUUGAGGGGCAGCAUGAUCUGGAGAGCAUGUGGAGAGAAGAAGGAAAAUACACACGUUUCCAUUUUGACUGUGAGUCAACGCCGUUUCAUGCAGUGGAAUAAGUGCCUUGAGGGCUGGGGAAAAAAGGUGUUUGCACCAUUUCCAUUCAACUGAGUCAUGUGCCCCAUGAAUGGAGUUUGGGGUAAGGGAAUGAACUCACCACUGACUCUGUUUCCCGUGUUUCCCAUGUUUUCCUGUCCCCUUAUUUCCUUGUUUCACAUGAGAGAAGAGUGAUUUCUUUGAGAUCCUGAAGGGUGAGAUCAAAGCCACUUGUCUGCCAGACAGGACACUGGACACUGGAUCAAGAGAGACAGGAGACCUUCCUGUUCAUGUCUGACCCUACAGUACCAUCCAGGAGAUCUCCCUGGGUCCCGGGGGCAGACCUCACCUCAAAACUCUGGGAUGACCUUGGGAGGAGAAGUCAGAGAUUCAAAGUACAAGAAAGAUUAAAUGUGCUGUUGCAAACAAAAAAUUUUGCAAUUUGUAUGGAAACACAAAAGACCCCGAAUAGCCAAAGCAAUCUUGAGAACGAAAGAAGGAACUGGAGGAAUCAGGCUCCCUGACU